Molecule: ribosomal RNA, 429 nt
Filed under: Fusobacteriota bacterium
Lineage: Bacteria; Fusobacteriati; Fusobacteriota
Description: Fusobacteria bacterium partial 16S ribosomal RNA
Rfam family: Bacterial small subunit ribosomal RNA
Source: RNAcentral
UGGGGAAUAUUGCGCAAUGGGCGAAAGCCUGACGCAGCGACGCCGCGUGAGGGAUGAAGGUUUUCGGAUCGUAAACCUCUGUCAGAAGGGAAGAAACCGCACUGUGCUAAUCAGCAGUGCCUUGACGGUACCUUCAAAGGAAGCACCGGCUAACUCCGUGCCAGCAGCCGCGGUAAUACGGAGGGUGCAAGCGUUAAUCGGAAUUACUGGGCGUAAAGCGCACGUAGGCUGCUUUGUAAGUCAGGGGUGAAAUCCCACGGCUCAACCGUGGAACUGCCUUUGAUACUGCUUAGCUUGAAUCCGGGAGAGGGUGGCGGAAUUCUAGGUGUAGGAGUGAAAUCCGUAGAUAUCUGGAGGAACAUCAGUGGCGAAGGCGGCCACCUGGACCGGUAUUGACGCUGAGGUGCGAAAGCGUGGGGAGCAAACAGG